GCAGGCGGGUGGCAGUUCACGCUGUCGGUGACCCGCAGCAGUGCCGGCGGGCAACGGAGACAGCCUCAGCCAUCCUUGCUGCCUCACUUAAGGCGGCCAGGGAUGCCGGCAGCUGCACCCCCAGCAUGCAGCAGCACCUUCUAAUGCCCAUAAGCUGCUUGCUCUGCAAGCAGCAACCUGCGCACCUGCUGCAAGAGGCAGAGCACGUGCCAUAGGCAUUAGAGCGGCAGACUCCCAGAAGUUUCUCCAGGUCCUUCAGGGAAACCUUGCAUGUCCAAGACCUGGCAGUGAGAUCUGAGAGCAGGGCGCCAGCCCUCAAAGACUCUAACUGUUCUCAUGCCUCUGCACGCUAGAGCCAAGCAAGGGUACCCUGUGCGCUGCAGCCAGAAGCCCAAGAGUUGGCGUGCAGCUGGCAGUACCGGGGCAUGGUGCAUGCACCAGCAGCCUGGGAGCACCAGCAACAACUGCCCAGGUGCAAGCCACUAAUGCUGGUAAGAUCCCCAUGGCUUGGACAGACGCUCGGGAGGGCACCCGAGGCACUGGUGCAGCCUCUACACCACAUUCCCCAUCUGCAAAGAAGGGCUCAGAAGGGGAGGCACGUCAUGGCAAAGAGCAAACAAGGAGACUCUGUCCCAUCUGUGCCUGAAGAUGUGGAAAAUUCAGCUUCUUCCAAGGCUGCACUUAUUCCAAAGAGACAAGAUCCCAGAGAAAUCACCAGGAUGGCCUGUGGAUAUUCUGCCACGAUCCCAGCAAUCCGCAGAAUUCGUGAUGAGGAGAAAAAGGACCCAGAUGUUGUCCAGAUGGAAUGUGUCCUGGCCAAACAGCGUGAAAGGGCCAGGGCACUGGAGAUCCCAAGCAGCAGAUGAUGAUGCCAACACUUCCGGCACUGCUCAGGGCACGCUUGGCAUCUCUACCACAACAGCGAAUGCUGAGGGCCAGUUUCUGGUAUCUGGUGAUUCCCAGACCUCAGACAUAAGCGUGCAGGCUGUGCAGCAAGAGCUGGAAGAGCCCACUGAGGGAGAAACUGCAGGACAGUUUCUGGUGAUUUGUUGUUGCACAGGUCUUGCCCCAUCUGAAGAGGCAGAAACAGCGCGUUCAGCUUCUCUUCUGGAGCCUCUGUCUGCAUCAGAUAUAGAUAGAGAAGAAGAAGAUUUAGAAAGCUCCUAUUCUUCUGAGGCUGCAUGCUCUGCGGUGGAGGCCAAUGCAGCAGCACUCCUCUUGUCGGUGUCUGAGGGAGGAGAAAGAGAAGAACAAGCUGUGGCCAUGCCUGAAGCUCUGGGAGAAGCAGGGAGUUUCCAGGAUCCCAUAGAGAUCAACAGGAGGGCCUGUGGGUGCCCUCAUAUGAUCCCAGCACUCCGAAGAAUUCUUGAUGAGGAUGGAAAUGAGCACAUCAUGUCACGCUGGAAUAUUUCCUGGCCAAAGAGUCUGAGAAGCUGCGGGCAGCAAAGCCUCCAGGCAAGAGAUAAUGCUUCCAACACUGCUGGUGCUGCUCAGGACGUGCCAGCCAUCACGGGCUCAUGGCUCUUAUCGUGA
Molecule: long non-coding RNA, 1533 nt
Filed under: Coturnix japonica (Japanese quail)
Lineage: Eukaryota; Metazoa; Chordata; Aves; Galliformes; Phasianidae
Description: lncRNA (ENSCJPG00005007645.1)
Source: RNAcentral